GGAGCUCCUGCAGGGGCGAGAUGGGAACACAUGCCGUUGCCGGGCGCUGUCGCCGCCGCCGCGCAUGUGUUCUCAGGUCGCCCCCGCCGGGCCUUC
Molecule: microRNA precursor, 96 nt
Filed under: Setaria italica (foxtail millet)
Lineage: Eukaryota; Viridiplantae; Streptophyta; Magnoliopsida; Poales; Poaceae
Also listed under: 1 other name
Description: MIR398 microRNA precursor family
Rfam family: MIR398 microRNA precursor family
Source: Rfam by way of RNAcentral